RNAcentral lists this unclassified non-coding RNA (22 nucleotides) under Mus musculus (house mouse). Its description in RNAcentral is "oocyte_clustered_small_RNA3533". The record is from RNAcentral. Lineage: Eukaryota; Metazoa; Chordata; Mammalia; Rodentia; Muridae.
UGGAGGCCGAGCAGCACGCUGG